This 1286-nucleotide long non-coding RNA is filed under the name Macaca fascicularis (crab-eating macaque). RNAcentral describes it as "lncRNA (ENSMFAG00000054325.1)". Lineage: Eukaryota; Metazoa; Chordata; Mammalia; Primates; Cercopithecidae. The record is from RNAcentral.
UUCUCCACUUUCAGCAAACAUCACAGCUGCUAUGCCCAUAUCCUCCUGCCUAUGCCUUCUCUUCACACUGUACCUGCUCCUCUGGCUCUACAAAUCCCACAUGUCACUCCUUAAAGGACAACCAAAUGAUCCCCACUUCACUGGCCCAGUCUUUUCUGUAUCUUAUAAUCACCCAAUGAUGGUGGGAUGUGAGUAUGGAGGUUGAAGGCAGAGGUACAGUAUUAUAAUGCUAUAUUUUAGGAUGACUUCAAUCAAGCAAAAUCAACUUUGUGUCAGGUCCUGCUUGGUGAUAGCUAUGAGUUAACAAAAAGGGCAGAAACUUUCAGCUACAGCAUUUCCAUUUAUCAAUAAAUUUACAUUGCUAUAAAAUUAAUCAUUAGAUUGUCAACUGUUACAUAGAUGUUUCAUAUGAAGUGUCUUUUCUUGUCAAUAGGAAUAGAAGCCUAUAAAAACACAGGAGCGGUGGAUUUUGCUAUUCAGGAUGCCCUUUAAUACCUAGCAAAGCCCUGGACAUCAAGAACUUAACAACUUAAUUGACCAUAUUAUAUUAUAUCAAUGUAUCUUUAACUUGCUCUUUGGCUAUCCCUGUGACCCAAAAAGUGAUAUGUCCAAUUCUGGGCUAUUUAAUUUAAAGUUUCCACUUCUUGCUCUUUAUUUGAUUGAAGUUGGAUGAGAAAAAAUACAGCCUAUGUAAUAUAUAUCGAUGUUAUAGUCACAUACACAUAUGCCUUUACAAAAGCAAGUUUUGGCCUCAGCUACACUUUAGAAUCCUAUCAUUGUACUUUUGUCAAAUGAGGUUAGUAUCUAAAAACUAAUGGAUACAAUUAUUGGAAGAAAUUUCUCAUUAAAAUAAAGGAAUAAACAUCAGAGGCAGGUCUGAACACAGAAAGUUUGCAUCCUAAUUUUUUUUCAUGGAGAUCACAAAUUCCUGAAGCAUCAAACAUAUAUAUAUAUAUAUAUAUAUAUAUAUAUAUAUAUAUAUUCUGUGUGUAUGUGUGUGUACAUAUAUAUAUUCUGUAUAUAUAUAUUUUGUGUGUGUGUGUGUGUGUGUGUGUGUAUUCUGUAGUCUACUGCCCAUUAGGUGAAGAAAACAUGGUCACUGUCUCAUGUUUAAAAUAAGAGAAAAAAAAUUACUUCUCCUUCGAAUACAUUUGUCAACGCUCCAAAGAAAUAAACAAUAUGUGAAUAGUUCAGUACAAUUAUAUAUUUACAAAGCAUAGGGGGUUUAGUCUAACAUUUUCCCACCUGAAUAAACUGAGCUUAAGUAUCUCCGACAAUCAAAAGGC